This is a long non-coding RNA of Gasterosteus aculeatus aculeatus (three-spined stickleback), 518 nucleotides long. NCBI's taxonomy places the organism in Eukaryota, Metazoa, Chordata, Actinopteri, Perciformes, Gasterosteidae. The record is from Ensembl.
GCCGGAACUGUAAAUUAAAGUCCCUAUUAGUCAGAAGUCUGUGUUUGGCACUGCAGUCCUUGGCACACAUCUUUAUUACCUUCCCUGGUCACUGAAGAAUGUGUUACAUCAGAGAUUGCAGUGGAGCUGUAAAAGGAUGGACUGUCGAGACACUGCCAGGUGAAGAGUGUGAUGAUGGGUCGUUUGCAGAAGCUGCUGGCUGAUAACCAGAGCUCCAUGUAGAGCCAAGAGAUCUGGAUACAGAUGGGAGAAUCUGCUCUCUCGUUGCAGUUGAGCCGCAUUUUUAAGGCCACGUGGAGAGGGCUUCCGCAUCAACGCGGUGGGGCGUGUGAAGACGGCCGAGGCGGAGCAGCGGCGGAGCCCCACCUUGAGCCGAAGACCAUCGGAGCUCUUCAAUCAAAUCCAUCAGAAAACUCGUAUGGCUCUGGACUGCAAAUACACAACUAUAUUAAUUUCAGAAGACGAGCAAACAAACUACUUUUUAAAAAGAGCCGAAGGAGCUAAAGUGAAUAUAAAAU